GAUCCUGGCUCAGGAUGAACGCUAGCUACGGGCUUAACACAUGCAAGUCGAGGGGCAGCAUGACGAUAGCUUGCUAUUGUUGAUGGCGACCGGCGCACGGGUGAGUAACGCGUAUCCAACCUGCCCUUGUCCAUCGGAUAACCCGUCGGAAGGCGGCCUAACACGAUAUGCAGUCCACAGAAGGCAUCUGACGCGGACGAAAUGUGAAGGAGAAGGAUGGGGAUGCGUCUGAUUAGCUUGUUGGCGGGGUAACGGCCCACCAAGGCGACGAUCAGUAGGGGUUCUGAGAGGAAGGUCCCCCACAUUGGAACUGAGACACGGUCCAAACUCCUACGGGAGGCAGCAGUGAGGAAUAUUGGUCAAUGGGCGAGAGCCUGAACCAGCCAAGUAGCGUGCAGGAUGACGGCCCUAUGGGUUGUAAACUGCUUUUAUGCGGGGAUAAAGUGAGCCACGUGUGGCUUAUUGCAGGUACCGCAUGAAUAAGGACCGGCUAAUUCCGUGCCAGCAGCCGCGGUAAUACGGAAGGUCCGGGCGUUAUCCGGAUUUAUUGGGUUUAAAGGGAGCGUAGGCCGUCUGGUAAGCGUGUUGUGAAAUGUCGGGGCUCAACCUGGGCAUUGCAGCGCGAACUGUCAGACUUGAGUGCGCGGGAAGUAGGCGGAAUUCGUCGUGUAGCGGUGAAAUGCUUAGAUAUGACGAAGAACUCCGAUUGCGAAGGCAGCCUGCUGUAGCGCAACUGACGCUGAAGCUCGAAAGCGUGGGUAUCGAACAGGAUUAGAUACCCUGGUAGUCCGCACGGUAAACGAUGGAUGCCCGCUGUUGGCCUGAAUAGGUCAGCGGCC
RNAcentral lists this ribosomal RNA (839 nucleotides) under uncultured bacterium. RNAcentral describes it as "bacterial SSU rRNA". It matches the Rfam family "Bacterial small subunit ribosomal RNA", at positions 15 to 848 of the family's 1533-position model. The record is from RNAcentral.